UACGGAAGGCAGCAGUGGGGAAUAUUGCACAAUGGGCGCAAGCCUGAUGCAGCCAUGCCGCGUGUAUGAAGAAGGCCUUCGGGUUGUAAAGUACUUUCAGCGGGGAGGAAGGCGGUGAAGUUAAUAGCUUCACCGAUUGACGUUACCCGCAGAAGAAGCACCGGCUAACUCCGUGCCAGCAGCCGCGGUAAUACGGAGGGUGCAAGCGUUAAUCGGAAUUACUGGGCGUAAAGCGCACGCAGGCGGUCUGUCAAGUCGGAUGUGAAAUCCCCGGGCUUAACCUGGGAACUGCAUUCGAAACUGGCAGGCUAGAGUCUUGUAGAGGGGGUAGAAUUCCAGGUGUAGCGGUGAAAUGCGUAGAGAUCUGGAGGAAUACCGGGUGGCGAAGGCGGCCCCUGGGACAAAGCUGACGCUCAGGGUGCGAAAGCGUGGGGAGCAAACAGGGAUUAGGAUACC
RNAcentral lists this ribosomal RNA (456 nucleotides) under uncultured bacterium. Its description in RNAcentral is "bacterial SSU rRNA". It matches the Rfam family "Bacterial small subunit ribosomal RNA", at positions 340 to 786 of the family's 1533-position model. The record is from RNAcentral.